ACAUCCAGAGAACUUAGCAGAGAUGCUUUGGUGGCCUUCGGGAACUCUGAGACAGGUGCUGCAUGGCUGUCGUCAGCUCGUGUUGUGAAAUGUUGGGUUAAGUCCCGCAACGAGCGCAACCCUUUAUCCUUUGUUGCCAGCGGUUCGGCCGGGAACUCAAAGGAGACUGCCGGUGAUAAACCGGAGGAAGGUGGGGAUGACGUCAAGUCAUCAUGGCCCUUACGGCCAGGGCUACACACGUGCUACAAUGGCGCAUACAAAGAGAAGCGACCUCGCGAGAGCAAGCGGACCUCAUAAAGUGCGUCGUAGUCCGGAUUGGAGUCUGCAACUCGACUCCAUGAAGUCGGAAUCGCUAGUAAUCGUAGAUCAGAAUGCUACGGUGAAUACGUUCCCGGGCCUUGUACACACCGCCCGUCACACCAUGGGAGUGGGUUGCAAAAGAAGUAGGUAGCUUAACCUUCGGGAGGGCGCUUACCACUUUGUGAUUCAUGACUGGGGUGAAGUCGUAACAAGGUAAGCGUAGCGAG
This 527-nucleotide ribosomal RNA is filed under the name uncultured bacterium. RNAcentral's name for it is "bacterial SSU rRNA". It matches the Rfam family "Bacterial small subunit ribosomal RNA", at positions 984 to 1509 of the family's 1533-position model. The record is from RNAcentral.